AGGUAGGAAUACCCGCUGAACUUAAGCAUAUCAAUAAGCGGAGGAAAAGAAACCAACAGGGAUUCCCCUAGUAACGGCGAGUGAAGCGGGAACAGCUCAAAUUUGAAAUCUGGCCCUUGGGUCCGAGUUGUAAUUUGUAGAGGAUGCUUUUGGUGCGGUGCCUUCCGAGUUCCCUGGAACGGGACGCCUUAGAGGGUGAGAGCCCCGUACGGUUGGACGCCUAGCCUCUGUAAAGCUCCUUCGACGAGUCGAGUAGUUUGGGAAUGCUGCUCUAAAUGGGAGGUAUAUUUCUUCUAAAGCUAAAUACUGGCCAGAGACCGAUAGCGCACAAGUAGAGUGAUCGAAAGAUGAAAAGCACUUUGAAAAGAGGGUUAAAUAGCACGUGAAA
RNAcentral lists this ribosomal RNA (388 nucleotides) under Listeria monocytogenes. RNAcentral describes it as "partial 23S ribosomal RNA". It matches the Rfam family "Eukaryotic large subunit ribosomal RNA", at positions 13 to 404 of the family's 3401-position model. Lineage: Bacteria; Bacillati; Bacillota; Bacilli; Caryophanales; Listeriaceae. The record is from RNAcentral.